UGGCCUAGAGGAGGCGUGUCCUGGACGUUUAUUUUCGGGGCGCGGUGGUAGUGGGAGGUUUGUGCUUACAGGUAGGGGCCUUUAGGGGGCGCAUAUAGUGGCUGUGUCCUAGGCUGUGCGUAUAUCCCUGUACGGCUGAGAGGAGCAGGCGCUCGUACAUAUUGGACAGCUGAAGGCAUGUCCGGCCCCUCAGCUCUGUAGCGGAGGACGCUUCAUAUAACUUCACUCCGGGGUAGAGAUGCUGCUUGACUUUCAGGUCACGUUUAAUCUCCACAGAGAUGUUUUGCCGUGGUUGUCGGCUCAAGGAAGUCCAGCUUGUGAUACCGUAGAGAAAAGCUCAAGAACACUCCGAAUCGUUAACGUAGAGAGAGAUGGGAACAUCUUGUAUACUUGGAAGGGAGUAGAGGGGUUCACAGGUGUUGGUUUAUAUGGUCCUCUUGCUAAACAAAAUGAGAUGUUAUAUUCUUUUGAUAGUGAAGUUAAUAUUAUAAGUGCUUCUGUCAACAGUGGAAAAACUUUACUUGGCUUAAGUUACUGCCAUCCCACAUAUGAAUCACAAAGCCGACUUCCAUCACCAGUUUCCAGAUAUUUGGCUCUACUUAUUGAACUAAAACCAAUUAACAAUGUGAAAGUUCUCAAAGCUGUUGAUAGCAGCAUUCGAGUGCAGUUUUUAUGUCCAGCAGAAGAUAUAUACCUGUCUUAUGAAAGUCACCUGCUAGUAGUUUCAGAGGAAAAAUAUAUUGAUGAGUUUCAUAUAACUACUGGUGAGGAAGAUGGAAAAAGAGUGGUUAUUAAGAAUAUUGGUCAAAUUCCAAAGGACAGACUCGCUGAAGACUUUGUGUGGGCGCAGUGGGAUGUGUCUGACCAGAUGCUUUUUUAUAUUGUUCCCAAGCGUGCAGGUUGUGUUUUGCAUUGUAUCCAGUUUUAUCCAGAUGGCAAUUUUAAAUAUGUACUUGAAUUUCCACUUGAAAUUUCCUUAGAUGAUCAAGGUGUAAGUUUGAUAAAUUUGGGAUAUGAUCCCCCUGAAGAAAGAGGAAGGGGAAGAAUUACACCUCAAAAUCUACAGGUUUUUACAAAUAAAACAGGUGGUUUGUGUCUUUUUUAUUGUCAACCUCCAAACGUUUUGCUAGAAUUUACGUACAUGGUAGCCUUUUUGCAUAAAGGUUGCAGUAAGACUUUUAAGGUCAGCACUACGACAGAUGCUAAGCAACUUAAGAAAGUAUCUUUUAUUAAUAUUGACAGUUAUGUUGCAGUUUACUUGCCCGACCAAUUUCUACAUUUGAUAAACACAAGACAUGCAGAGUUAAUGUGUUACCACUUAUUUUUAGCAGCUGAGGAUGCCAGAAUCAGUGGCAUGUGCUGCGACUGUCCCUUGCAGACAGUUCUGAAGACUCAGGUUAUAGAAUGCUGUACUGGAAUCCUGUUCUCUGUGUCUAUAAACCAGGAACAACUUUUCAAAUUUUUAACAGAAAGUAGACGGGACUGUGAACGUUUGGCAGUCUUACAUUGCUUUUUGUUACAUCUAGACCUUCAGCCACAACAAGAGACCCAGAUAAUUGAGUGGAUCUGUGACAACCUGUCAACGUGUCUGACUUUUGACCCCAUACAGGAGUUUAUCAUUGCUUCGUUGCAUAGGCACCUGAGUUUGGAAACUGCAUACCUGGAUAAACUGUUACCUUACACUUCAGUGCCUUUUUGGAGUCAGCAUAUAGAUGGUGUGUCUUGUACGACUGACAUAACUGAUAUGCCAAUUCUAAAGAUGGGAAUAUUUAAAGGCUUUUGGGAAAAGUUUCAUUCUGAACUUGAAUGCAUGAAGCAGGCCCAGCAGCGAUUUUUGUACAGUAACCAUAUGCAGCGAAGAGAUUGGUGCAGACUGAUUUCUGAGGUGAAUACAAAAGAGAAGAAAAUUGAUGUUUAUCAAAGGAAUAUACUUGAGAAUGCUAAGAAGGUUCUUCAAAACAUGGAUACAAGAAAAUAUGCAGCAGUUGAAAGAAUUGUGCCAUUAAACCAAGAAGAGGACUACCUACAGAAAGAUCUAAUGGGUCUGAUGAUGGUGAAAUUGAAGGAUCAUUUGUGUCAACAUCUUCAUGUUGCAAAAAACAAGAUUGACAAACUUGUAUUGGAUUUUGUCUGUAAACAGCUGGACCUUGUGUGUCAGAUAUUGGAGGUCGUUUGGAGGCGGCAUGUUCUUGAUCAUAGCAUCUUAUGUUUGGACCGGAGUGGAAAUUCUUCAGAGUAUUUUGCUUUUCAUGUCAUGUGCCAAAUAACAGAUUCUGCAAGCCGCAUGUGUAUGCCAUUACCUCCUGGUUUUCAGACUCUGCAUCUGGUUCUCGCAGUGCGCUGCCUCCCUCUAGCAAACUUGCUUCAUUACAUAGAUUCUGGAGUAUUGACCUUAACAGAAACAUUUGUUGUUAAACUCCUUAAAGAACUGGAUGAUAAUGUAACAAAUGAAAAACUGAAGUGUAGCAUCAUUCUGCGACUUCCAGAGAACAUUUGUGAAAAAGUCCAUAGUUUGUGGGAUCAUGCCAUCAGCAAUAAUUUAAUUGCUAGGAAGUAUGUGAAAAAGCUGCUCUUCAGGCUUAACCAAAGGGAGGUUACUCAACAAUCUCCAACUGAUCGCUCUCCACUCAUUAACUUUCUACCACUGAAUUAUUUAAUAAUGAUGCUGUCAGAAGUGGAAGAUAGAGCUUCGAGUGAAUAAAGAUGGCACAUUGAUCUUCACCGAGCUGGAGUUCUUCAUAUUCUUCUGUUUACAAGACUUGGGUGCAGUCCGCACCCUGCUCUGCGCUCAAUCUGGUGGGCUUGGGAAUUAAAUCCUUUUGAAGAAGAUAACAUAGAUGCUGCAUUUCUGGAAGAGAUUGCCUUGAAACAAACCGCAGAUUUACUAAGCCUACAACAGUACUAGACACUGGAUCAAAGUAAUGGCAUCUGUCUGUACAUUUCUGCCCGGUGCCAGGAAGGUGGCCAUAGUUCCUGUGACAGUUCUGUUGAAAUCAUGUUGUGCAACACUGAAAUUCUGUUUAAAUGUAGCUACUUUCAAUGUCUGUGAUAUUUCCUAUUGUGGUACAUUCUCUUUUUGCAGCUAAAAAGUAUUUUAAGGAUGGUAAGGUGAUGGUACCAAGUGAUUUAUAAUAUUGGCAAGAUAUUGGUUUUAGUCAGCAAUUUGAAACCAGAAAUGUGCCAGUUGCAUAAAAAACUUAUACAAUAUGUAUUCCUCAUAGGAAUUGUAUCUUACAAUAUAAAUUUGCAAAGAAUUUUGCUCAGAAAAUGUUUACAAAAACACUACCUUACAUUUUUAAAUAGCUUUAGUUCUCUGCUAGGAUGUGAUAAAGGAAUGGGUGGUGGGUACCUUUUUAAAGGGGUACUCCGCCCCUGGACAUCUUAUCCCCUAUCCAAAGAAUAGGGGAUAAGAUGUCUGAUCAC
Hyla sarda is the source of this 3423-nucleotide RNA transcript. It is a transcript of the gene named gamma-secretase activating protein, with no coding region annotated. The record is from RefSeq and is a predicted model, not a curated record. NCBI's taxonomy places the organism in Eukaryota, Metazoa, Chordata, Amphibia, Anura, Hylidae. The transcript has 32 exons.